CAAUAUUCUAUAUCCUUCCUGACUAGCUUUGCUUUCUAAUCACUGAGAGACACAGGCUCAAAUCUUCUACCAAGAGAGUAAUGAGUAGCCAUAUGAACCAACAAAUUGGGUUACUAUUUUGGAACCGAGAUCCAUCAGUAGGAGAGAUUUUUAAACAUUAAACAUGAAACAUUCUAAUAUUACCCCUACUCCUACAGAAAAGAGAAAGAGAGAACACAUCCCCAGCUCUUACUGUGGGGCUAGAAAAACCUUGACCCCCAAACCAGAAAAAAUACAGAAAGGAAAAGAACAGGCCAAAGUCAACAUAUAAAACAUCCUACAGGAAUAGGAGACACAAUGCAGCAAUGAACGAGAAAGGUAAUGUGCAUGAGAUGUAGGCUUUAUUAAAGGAAUAUAGUUAGUUUAACAGUAGAAAAUCAGUGUAAUCCACAGCAUUAAUGAUUUAAAGGAGGAAAGCCAUGUGAUUUUUUUCAAAAGAUGCAUUUAAAAAAACAAACAAACAAAAAAACCCUCUACCUAAAAUUCAUCCUCAGGAUCAAAUUGGUCCCAGUGACUAUAUUCCUCCCAUACACAAUCCCCGGGUCUAGAGGAAAGGGAGCCCCACCAGAGCAUGGGAGAACUGCAAGGUUCCUGUCAACACAAACAGAGCUACUCUUUUACGGAAGAUCAGAGCUCCAAGAGCCAAAUGGUAAAAGUGGGCCUCUCCGUCACCCAGCUGGUAAACAGACUGCAAGGUCACAAGACAUGCCUUGUGUUGUGAGAAUAAUCCUGUAUCGCUUCAAUGUCAAUAGCUCUGGGACACGUGCAACAAGCUCACUGGCCAGGACCCCUCCCUGCGUGUGAGAACGUGAUGACGGAGAAUGACUCAUUGCCGGCGGUUUAUAACAGGCUGGCAGGAAGCAGACAAGUGCACACUCGCCAUGUCUGAUAACGAGUCAAUCAUGUUCCCUAUCAAACAUUGGGUCAUGGAGUUCAUGGUGGAAGCUGUAGCUACCUUUGUCCUGCAUAAGACACAAGAUGUUUUCUAAACCGAAUGAUUUAACUACUCGUCUACCUGUGUAAUCUGGACUUCCUGCGAGAAUUCUUGUCAUCGGAAAACUUAUAUCUGUUUACACAAUAUGAUUGAUGGAAAAAAAUUUGUUUUUACUGAAAAUUCUUGAUAAAUAUACCAUAUUAUUUUGGACACAAGAUAUUUUCUAAACCGAAUGAUUUAAUUACUCGAAUACGUGUAUAAUCUGGACUUCCUGAGAGAAUUCUUGUCAUCGGAAAACUUAUUUCUGUUUACACAAUAUGAUUGAUGGAAAAAAAUUUGUUUUUACUGAAAAUUCUUGAUAAAUAUACCAUAUUAUUUUGGACACAAGAUAUUUUCUAAACCGAAUGAUUUAAUUACUCGAAUACGUGUAUAAUCUGGACUUCCUGAGAGAAUUCUUGUCAUCGGAAAACUUACAUCUGUUUACACAACAUGAUUGAUGGAAAAAAAUUUGUUUUUACUGAAUAUUCUUGAUAAAUAUACCAUAUUAUUUUGGACACAAGAUAUUUUCUAAACCGAAUGAUCUAAUUACUUGAAUACGUGUAUAAUCUGGACUUCCUGCGAGAAUUCUUGUCAUCGGAAAAUUUAUUUCUGUUUACACAAUAUGAUUGAUGGAAAAAAAUUUGUUUUUACUGAAAAUUCUUGAUAAAUAUACCAUAUUAUUUUGGA
Ailuropoda melanoleuca (giant panda) is the source of this 1699-nucleotide long non-coding RNA. RefSeq lists it as uncharacterized. Lineage: Eukaryota; Metazoa; Chordata; Mammalia; Carnivora; Ursidae. The record is from RefSeq and is a predicted model, not a curated record. The transcript is spliced from 2 exons.